RNAcentral lists this ribosomal RNA (484 nucleotides) under uncultured bacterium. Its description in RNAcentral is "partial 16S ribosomal RNA". It matches the Rfam family "Bacterial small subunit ribosomal RNA", at positions 28 to 507 of the family's 1533-position model. The record is from RNAcentral.
GAUGAACGCUGGCGGCAGGCCUAACACAUGCAAGUCGAACGGAAGAAGCGGGCUUGCUCCUGGCUUGAGCGGCGGGGGGGUGAGAAAUGCCUAGGAAUCUGCCUGGGAGUGGGGGAUCACGUCCGGAAACGGGCUCUAAUACCGCAUGCUGCCUGAGGGAAAAAGGGGGGGGUCUUCGGACCUGCCCCUCUCUGAUGAGCCUAGGUGGGAGUAGCUAGCUGGUGGGGGCAAGGCCUACCAAGGGGGCGAGCCGUAACUGGUCUGAGAGGAUGAUCGGUCACACUGGAAGUGAGACAUCGGCCAGACUCCUACGGGAGGCAGCAGUGGGGAAUAUUGGACAAUGGGCGAAAGCCUGAUCCAGCAAUGCCGCGUGGGUGAAGAAGGCCUUCGGGUGGUAAAGCACUUUAAGUUGGGAUGAAGGGCAGUAAGUUAAUACCUUGCUGUUUUGACGGUACCAGGAGAAUAAGCACCGGCUAACUUCGUG